This 168-nucleotide microRNA precursor is filed under the name Marmota monax (woodchuck). The record is from RNAcentral. Lineage: Eukaryota; Metazoa; Chordata; Mammalia; Rodentia; Sciuridae.
UUCACCCCUUAACUUUCUUGCAUUAUCUUACACAUGAGCUUUUGGGGGACACCACAUAUUUAAACACCACAUAUUGAAGCAGGAGGAUCACAAGUUCAAAUGUGUGGUUUAAAUAUGUGGUGUCCCCCAAAAGCUCAUGUGUAAGAUAAUGCAAGAAAGUUAAGGGGU